UCCAUGUGUGUAUGCACGUGUGUGUGCAUGUGCAUUUGUGUGUGCAUGUGUGUGUGCAUGUAUGCACACACGUGUGUGUGUGUGUGUCU
RNAcentral lists this microRNA precursor (89 nucleotides) under Choloepus hoffmanni (Hoffmann's two-fingered sloth). RNAcentral's name for it is "miRNA (ENSCHOG00000015025.1)". Lineage: Eukaryota; Metazoa; Chordata; Mammalia; Pilosa; Megalonychidae. The record is from RNAcentral.